GUCAGAAGUGAUGAGUUUCUUUUACCGCCCCAGUCUGAAGAUUCAUGACUGAUUGGUAUCCUCUGAUAAC
Parambassis ranga (Indian glassy fish) is the source of this 70-nucleotide small nucleolar RNA. NCBI's taxonomy places the organism in Eukaryota, Metazoa, Chordata, Actinopteri, Ambassidae. The record is from Ensembl.